This 503-nucleotide ribosomal RNA is filed under the name uncultured bacterium. RNAcentral's name for it is "partial 16S ribosomal RNA". It matches the Rfam family "Bacterial small subunit ribosomal RNA", at positions 29 to 523 of the family's 1533-position model. The record is from RNAcentral.
AACGAACGCUGGCGGCACGUUUUAAGCAUGCAAGUCGAAUGGCAGCAGGGGCAACUCUGUGAGAAUGGCGAACGGGUGAGUAACACGUAGGUGAUCUGCCUUGAGGAUGGGGAUAGCCUGUGGAAACACAGGGUAAUACCGAAUGAGCUGACGUGACUUUGGUUUUGUUAGUAAAGGUGCUACGGCACCGCCUUGAGAGGAGCCUGCGGCUGAUUCGCUAGUUGGUGGGGUAAGAGCUUACCAAGGCGACGAUCAGUAGCCGGCCUGAGAGGGUGUACGGCCACACUGGAACUGAGACACGGUCCAGACUCCUACGGGAGGCAGCAGCUAAGAAUCUUCCGCAAUGGGCGAAAGCCUGACGGAGCGAUGCCGCGUGAUCGAUGAAGGUCGAGAGAUUGUAAAGAUAUUUUCUACAUGAGGAAUAAGUCUGGGAGGGAAUGCCCGGAUGAUGACGUUAGUGUAGGAAUAAGCCCCGGCUAAUUACGUGCCAGCAGCCGCCGUAA